RNAcentral lists this transfer RNA (71 nucleotides) under Marmota monax (woodchuck). RNAcentral's name for it is "tRNA.Ala". It matches the Rfam family "tRNA". Rfam says of the family: Transfer RNA (tRNA) molecules are approximately 80 nucleotides in length. Their secondary structure includes four short double-helical elements and three loops (D, anti-codon, and T loops). Further hydrogen bonds mediate the characteristic L-shaped molecular structure. tRNAs have two regions of fundamental functional importance: the anti-codon, which is responsible for specific mRNA codon recognition, and the 3' end, to which the tRNAs corresponding amino acid is attached (by aminoacyl-tRNA synthetases). tRNAs cope with the degeneracy of the genetic code in two manners: having more than one tRNA (with a specific anti-codon) for a particular amino acid; and 'wobble' base-pairing, i.e. permitting non-standard base-pairing at the 3rd anti-codon position. Lineage: Eukaryota; Metazoa; Chordata; Mammalia; Rodentia; Sciuridae. The record is from RNAcentral.
GGGGUUGUAGCUCAGUGGUAGAGCGCUCACCUAGCAUGUGUGAGACCCUGGGUUCGAUCCUCUGCACCACA